This 11937-nucleotide long non-coding RNA is filed under the name Homo sapiens (human). RNAcentral's name for it is "non-protein coding LINC00960:10". The record is from RNAcentral. Lineage: Eukaryota; Metazoa; Chordata; Mammalia; Primates; Hominidae.
GCUGUGGGCCCUGAAAGUUGUCGAGUGCGCCUGUCCCUGUGGUGGGAGCAGUGGCGCCGAGCGUGCCCACGGGCCGCCGCUUGGGUUUCUCUCGUGUUCAGGGUAGUAUGGACGUGGACAAUGGCAGUGGCCCCUGGCUGGCCCAAGAGCCGGGUCCAGAUACGCGCGCCUGAUUCCAGGCGUCAUAACCAACCCGGGGCCGCGAGGCUGGGAUCAGGCACCCCGGAGCCGCUUGCCCGUGGCCGGGCUGCUCUCCCCCUCUAAGCCUAAGCACCGCCAGUCGCGGCGCUGCGCUUUCCGCCGACCUCCCAGAGCGUCCCGCCGUCGCCGGCGGCCAGCCUCGCGCAGGACCAGUGUGGCGCCGCCCUGCUGUUGCUGGGGGGCGCCCGAGGCCUCCAUUCCUUGCCCAGGCUUCCGGCUCUCGGGGCGGCCUCCCUUCCGCCCACGCUCCAGGGCUUCCCCGGCUCCCGAGCUCCGAGCUUCCACCACAUCGGCCGGCUCAGGACAGGGCUUCCACUGUAAAGUCGGCUGCCAGACGUGUUGGAGCUCACCGGAUUUGUCCCUGGUGCCUUAUUUAGUUCACUUGAACCCAGAGUUGAUCUCUGCAGCAUGCCAUCACUGCUGGGGAUGAGGAAACGGUGAUUUCAGGACUGUUUUUUCUGUCUCUUCAGUGCCUCUUUCAGUGAUCUGAGGUUAAAACCAGACUAUGGAGGAUUCAUCAACAGACCAGGAAGCAACAGCCUGGGCUCCAGAAUUGACCAGUAGUCCGUGCACAGACGAGGAGAGGUCCCAUGAAACUUCGGCGCAGUCUGGGAACCGAGCUCUUUUUGUAACAAGUUGUUUGUCAGGAGGCCCGGUCAUGAAAGCCCUUCCUGACUGGGCUCAAGGAAUACAAAAAGGACAACUUGUUUUUGCCAUUGUCUGUUGUUUUUCAAUAACUAGUUCUCCGAAACAGCACUGGAUGAAUGCCUCAAGGGGCUCACACAACUCGUUCCAGGACUUAGUGACCAUUGUUUCUGUCCCUGUUCAAUAGAGUUCAAAUUUAAUAUUUAAAUUUUGCUCCACAAUGUGCCAUAUUAUCUGUAUCCAACCUGUCAUUGGGCAUUUAGGUUGAUUCCAUGUCUUUACUAUUGUGAAUAAUGCUGCAAUAAACAUUUACGUGCUUGUGUCUUUAUGAUAGAACAAUUUAUAUACCUCUGGGUAUAUACCCAGUAAUGAGAUUGCUGGGUCAAGUGAUAGUUCUGCUUUUAUCUCUUUCGAGGAGAGCACUGUUGUGCUUUCCACAAUGGUGGGACCAAUGUACACUCCCAAGCAUCUGUCAUUUUUUGACUUUUUCAUAAUAGCCAUUCUGACUGGUGUGAGAUGGUGUCUCACUGUGCCUUGGAUUUGCAUUUCUCUAAUGAUCAGUGAUACUGAGCUUUGUAUUCUAUGGUUGUUGGUCACAUGUAUGUAUUCUUUUGAAAAGCAUUCAUGUCCUUUGCCCACUUUUUAAACAUUUUUUUAUUUCCAUAGGUUUUAGGACAACAGGUGGCAUUUGGUUACAUUAGUAAGUUCUUUAUUGAUUUGUAAGAUUUUGGUGCAUCCAUCAACUCAUCUGUAUACACUGAACCCAAUUUGUAGCCUUUUAUCACUCACCCCCUUCUCCCGUUUCUCCCUGAGUCCCCAAAGUCUAUUGUGUCAUUCUUAAGCUUUUGCAUCCUUAUAGCUUAGCUCCCAAUUAUAAGUGAGAAUAUAUGAUGUUUGGUUUUCCAUUCCUGAGUUACUUCACUUAGAAUAAUAGUCUUCAAUCCCAUCCAGGUUGCUGCAACUGCCAUUAAUUCAUUUCCUCUUUAUGGCUGAGUAGUAUUCCAUUGUGCAUAUAUACCACGGUUUCUUCAUCCACUCGUUGAUUGAUGAGCAUUUGGAUUGGUUCAACAUUUUUGCAAUUGCAAAUUGUGCUGCUAUAAAUAUAUGUGUGCAGGUAUCUUUUUUGUAUAAUGACUUUUUUUUCCUCUGGGUACAUAGCCAGUAGUGGGAUUGGUGGGUCAAAUAGUACUUCUACUUUUAGUUCUUUAAGGAAUCUCCACACUGUUGUCCAUAGUGAUUGUACUAGUUUACAUUCCCACCAGCAGUGUAGAAGUGUUCCCUUUUCACUACAUUCACAUCAACAUCUAUUUUUUUUUUAUUAUGACCAUUCUUGAGAGAGUAAGGUGGUAUCACAUUGUGGUUGUAAUUUGCAUUUCCCUGAUCAUUAGUGAUGUUGAGCAUAUUUUCAUAUGUUUGUUGGCCAUUUGUAUAUCUUCUGAGAAUUGUCUAUGACCAUACUGCCAAAAUCAAUCUACAAAUUCAAUGCAAUUGCCAUCAAAAAACCAUCAUCAUUCUUCACAGAACUAAAAAAAAAAAUCCUAAAAUUCAUAUGGAACCAAAAAAGAGCCCACAUAGCCAAAGCAAUACUAAACAAAAAGAACAAAUCAGAAGGCGUCACAUUACCUGAUUUCAAACUAUAUCGUAAGACCAUAGUCACCAAAACAGCAUGGUUCUGGUAUAAAAACAGGCACAUAGACAAAUGGAACAUAAUGGAGAACCCAGAAAUUAACACAAAUAUUUACAAUCAACUGAUCUUUGACAAAGCAAACAAAAACAAAGUGGGGAAAGAACACCCUACCCAACAAAUGGUGCUGGGAUAAUUGGCAAGCCACAAGUAGGAGAAUGAAACUGGAUCUUUAUCUCUCACCUUAUACAAAAAUCAACUCAAGAUGGAUCAAGGACUUAAAUCUAGGACCUGAAAGUAUAAAAAUUCUAGAAGAUGACAUCAAAAACACCCUUCUAGACAUUGGCUUAGCAUGGAUUUCAUGACCAAGAACCCAACAGCAAAUGCAAGAAAAACAAAGAUAAAUAGUUGGGAUUUAAUUAAACUAAAGAGCUUUUUCGCGGCAAAAGGAACAGUCAGCAGAGUUAACAGAAAAUCCACAGAAUGGGAGAAAAUCUUCACAAUCUGUAUAUCUGACAAAGAACUAACAUCCAGAAUCUACAACGAGCUCAAACAAAUUAGCAAGAAAAAAACAAACAAUCCCAUCAAAAAGUAGGCUAAGGACAUGAAUAGACAAUUCUUUGGCCACUUUUUAAUAGGGUUGUUUGUUUUUCUCUUGUAAAUUUAAGUUCCUUAUAUUGAAUAUUAGAUCUUUGUCAGAUACAUAGUUUGUAAAUAUUUUUUCUCAUUCUACAGGUUGUCUGUUCACUCUAUUGAUAAUUUCUUUUGCUGAGCAGAAGAUUUUAAGUUUAAUUAGAUCCCACUUGUCAAUAGUUGCAUUUGUUGUUUUUGGUGUCUUUAUCAUGAAAUCUUUGCCUGUUUCUAUGUCCAGGAUGGUAUUGCCUAUGUUGUCUUCCAGGGCUUUUUAUAGUUUUGGGUUUUACAUUUAAGCAUUUAAUCCAUCUUGAGUUGAUUUUUGUGUAUGGUAUAAGGAAGCAGUCCAACUUCAAUCUUCUGCAUAUGGCUAGCCAGUUAUCACAGCACCAUUUAUUGAAUACGGCAUCUUUUCCCCAUUGCUUGUUUUUGCCAGCUUUGUCAAAGAUUAGAUAGUUGUAGGUAUGUGGUCUUAUUUCUAAGCUCUCUAUUCUGUUCCAUUGGUGUAUGUGUCUGUUUUUGUAUUAGUACCAUGCUGUUUUGGUUACUAUAGUGCUGUAGUACAGUUUGAAGUCAGGUAAUGUGAUGCCUCAAGCUUUGUUCUUUUUGCUUAGGAUUGCCUUGGCUACUUAGGUUCUUUCUUGGUUCUAUAUGAAUUUUUAAAUAGCUUUAUCUACUUCUGUGAAGCAUGUCAUUGGUAGUUUAAUAGGAAUAGCUUUGGGCAGUAUGACCAUUUAAAUGAUAUUACUUCUUUCUCUCCAUUAUCAUGGAAUGAUUUUUCAUUUGUUUGUGGCUUCUCUAACUUCUUUGAUCAGUGUUUUAUAAUUUUCAUUGUAGAGAUUUUUCACCUCCCUGGUUAGCUGUAUUCGUACGUAUUUUAUUCUUUUUGUGGAAAUUGUGAAUAAAAUUGCCUCUCUGAUUUGGCUCUUAGUUUGUCUCUUCUUGGUGCAUAGGAAUGCUAGCAAAUUUUGUAUAUUAAUUUUGUAUCCUGAAACUUUGUGGAAGUUGUUUAUCAGCUUAAGGAGCUUUUGGGUCACAACUAUAGAGUUUAGAUAGAGAAUUAUAUUGUCUGCAAACAGAGGUAGUGGGACUUCUCUUUCUAUUUAAAUACCUUUAUUUCUUUCUCUUGUCUGAUUGCUCCAGAAAGGACUUCUAAUACUAUGUUGAAUAGGAGUGGUGAAAGAGGGCAUCCUUGUCUUGUGCGGGUUUCAAGGAGAAUGCUUCCAGAUUUUGCCCAUUUAGUAUAAUGUUGGCUGUGAAUUUGUCAUAGGUGGCCUUUAUUAUUUUGAGGUAUGUUCCUUCGAUACCUCGUUUAUUGAGAAUUUUUAACAUGAAGCUUUGUUGAAUUUUACUGAAAGCCUUUUCUGCAUCUGUUGAGACAGUCACAUGGUUCUUAUCUUUCGUUUUAUUUAUAUUAUGAAUCACAUUUUAUUGAUUUGCCCAUGAUGGACCAACCUUCCAUUCCAGGGAAGAAGCUUACUUCACUAUGGUGAAUUAGCCUUUUGAUGUGUUGCUAGAUUCAGUUUGCAAGUAUUUUAUUGUGGAUUAUUGAAUGGAUGUUCAUCAAGGAUACUGGCCUGAAGGUUUCUUUCUUUGUUGUGUCACUGCCAGGCUUUGGUAUCAGGAUGAUGCUGGCCUCGUAGAACAAGUUGGGGAAGAGUCCCUCCUCCUCUAUUUCUUGAAAUAGUUUUAGUAGGACUGGUACUGGCUCUUCUUUGUACAUCUGUUAAAAUUUGUUAAUCUAUCAGGUCCUGGGCUUUUAUGGGAGGUUGGUAGGCUAUUUAUUACGGAUUCAAUUUUUGGAGCUCAUAAUUGAUCUGUUCAGAGACUGAAUUUCUUCCUGGUUCAGUCUUGAGAGAGUGUAGGUGUUCAGGAAUUUAUUCAUCUCUUCUAGGGUUUCUAGUUUGUGUGUGCAGAGGUGUUCAUAGUAGUUGCUGGUUGUUAUUUUUAUUUCUGUGAGGUCAGUGGUAACAUUCCCUUCAUCAUUUCUAAUUGUGCUUCUUCGAAUCGUCUCUCUUUUCUUCUUUAUUAGUCUAGCUAGUGCCUAUCUAUCUUACUAAUUUUUUCAAAAAACCUUGAUUAAGUGAUCUUUUGAACAGCUUUUCUUGUCUCAAUUUCUUUCAAUUCAGCUCUGAUUUUAGUUAUUUCUUAUCUUCUAUAAGCUUUGUGUUUGAGUUCUUCUUGCUUCUCUAAUUCUUUCAGUUGUGAUGUUAGGUUGUUAAUUUGAGAUCUUUCUAACUUUUUGAUAUGGGGAUUACUUCUUAUGCCCUACUCUAACUUUUCUCCUUCUCCUAGAAAACUCAGAACUAUGCUUUCUAAACCAAUUCAAACUUUCUCAGUGAAUCAACCUGGUCUCCCUGAGGCAAAGUUAGCAAUUUUCCAUUACACAUGGUUCUCUUUCUCUGUAAGAAUAUCUAAUGCAACGAUGCAAGUGUUUCUUUCCCUCCUGGAUAUGCGGGGAACUACUUUUGGCUGAGACCAAGACUUAAAACCUUGUUCUUUCAACAUUAAUGAAGAUCUAUUUAGAAAGCCUCCAUUUUUACAGAAAAGAUUUAUAAAUACCAAUGAAAAUAAAUAUAAAAUUAUAUGGCAUACAAUUAUAUUGUGGAAAGACUGAACAAAUAAGUGAACUAAGCUCUAAGAAAAAAAGAUGAUGAUAUAAAAUGAUAUAUAAGUAAAGUCCUGGGCUGGUAUAGCAUAAUUAAUGUAUCAGUAAAGUAUGUACACUGUAGAAGUGGCAGGAAGACAGCAUAGAGAGUGAGACCUGACCAAAAGCUUUAAGGAAAGUUCUAUACCCUUAAAAGAGAUUAAAGUGGACUCAGGAAAACAUGGUCCACUUUAGGAGAAGGACACAUGUUCCAGACAGGCCAAAGCUCAGAGCAUCUCUACCUUCUCCAGGAGGAAAGGGGCAGCAAAGCAGCAGGCAGAGGGCAGCAAGGCCAGGUCAGCACAGGGCACCCAGGCCAAACCAGGUGGGCUCCAUCAUACAGGUAGUGAGGAUCCACUGCCAGGUGGGCUUUAUUCAUUAGUUUGUUUUGUUUUCUUCAGUAACUAAGACACGUGAUCAAAGCUGACCUUUCUAAAUAUUGCUGCAGCUGAACAUAAGAUGGAUAAAACUAGUGUUUUAAAAAUUAUGUUGUAUACAGCAUUAGCCCCAGUGAGAUAUUAGUGGAACACACAGGCACACACAUGCACACACACUCACACUGAGCCCAGAUUAUUCUGGCAAAUGCUGGGUUAAGCAAACUAAAAGAAACAUCUUUAGCGCUGGACUUCUCAGAACCUGGAAUGUGGCUCUAUGGCUCAUAAAACAGCAAGGUUAAGACAGAGCAUGUCAUUUUUUUCCCAGAAAUGUUGAAACACUUUCCUUCCCUUGGCUUCAGUGUCACCUUUCUCCUGGUUCUCCAUCAACCUCUUAGGCUGCUCCUUCUUGAUGUCCUUCUUGACAAUCUGCUGCUGCUCAGCCAUUCUCUUUUCAUUCCCCAUGGAUUUCUCAAGUGUGUUUCUAUUCCUGCAUAUUAAACUUUCCUUGUUUUUCCUGACACUUCUCCUUGUCUGACCCUCCCCUGUUCUAAGGCAGGUGUUCCAUCUGUGUGUGCUUUUGUCAUCCUGGGAUGCUCCCAGCAUGUUCCCUACCACACUCCAUCAGGUUUUCUCCCCAGACUCUGCGAGGGCAGCGGCCUUGUCUCCACCAUUCCUUCAAUGCUACGCACAUAACACAGAAGCUGACUCCAUAACAUUUAGUUGGCCAACUGAGACUAAAUGUAUGUUCCUCUAGAUCUUAAAAAGUUACAGAAACAUAGCACAAUAGUCAAAAAUUCUCUUUAGUCAGGAGUUCUCUAUAUAUGUACAACAGUUUGAAGUCAUUAUUAAGCAAAGUGAAACAAAACUGUCACAGAAUUCCCUAAGAUAAAUUAUUUUGCUUUAAUCUUCAAUUCAUCAUGUGAGAUAAUCAAGACCAUGUGUUAUUGUAAAUAUUUCUAUCUCAUAACACAACAACCUGAUUUUUAUUGUUUGAAAUAACCGCAAUAUAAAUCAGUUAAUUUAAAAUUGCAUAAAUAAUCCUUUCAAAUAAAAUUCUGUCUAAAUUUUACAUUACUCAUAUGUUCAAAUGAUAAUGAGCUCAUAGGCUUUUCCAAUACCUCAGUCAAAACAUUGUACUGAUUCCAGCUGUGGGAAUAGUAUCUGAAAGUUAUUUUACAGAUGGGGAAAACGUACUUAUGUGACAUUGGCCUUUGCACUACUGUGCCCUUUUGGGUCAGGAAAAAUCUCUUCCCUUAAAAUCCUAAAAUCUCUUCUGUCAGGUCUGAAGGGUGGGUGGGAAACAGAGUUUUUUAAAUCUAAGCCACAGAUGUUUUAUUCCUUGCUUAAAGCAGUGACUAGAUAAAGGCCACUAGAAGAGCCUCCAAUGCUUCUUCAGAAGCAUGUGCCUGAGAACAUCUUCCUGAAACACUCCCUUGUCUCUGCCCAAAAUCACCUUAGGUAGGAAAGUCAAAACUCAGCAGGCUGAGGAGAUCCAAGGGGAUCACUGAGCUCUGAGGCUUAUAAGAGAAGAGAGAGAGGUCUAAGUUUUUUGUGUAUAAAUUUAUGGGUUACAAGUGCAAUUUUGCUGUAAGCAUGGAUGGCAUAGUGGUGAAGUCAGGGCUUUUAGGGUAUCCAUCACCAGAAUAAUGCACAUUGUACCCAUUAAAUAAUUUCUCACUGUUCACCCCUUCCAUCCCCUCACCCUGCUGUGUCUCCAUUAUUAUUCCACUCUCUACAUCAAUACCUACACAUCUUUUAGCACCCGCUUAUGAGUGAUAAAAUACGAUGUUUACUCUGUGUCUGGCUUGCUUCACUUACAACAAUGGCCUCCAGUUCCAUCCAUGUGUCUGCAAAAGUUAUGAUUCUAUUUUUUGUGCCUGAAUAGUAUUUCAUUUUGUAUAUUUUCUACAUUUUCUUUCUCCAGUCAUUUGUUGAUGGACAUUUAGGUUGAUUUUAUAUCUGUGCUACUGUGAAUAGUGUUGCAACAAAUAUAUAAGUACAGUUAUCUUUCUGAUAUACUGAUUUCUUUUCCUUUGCAUAGAUACCCAGUGGUGGGAUUGCUGAAUCAGACAGAGCCAAUAGACGAUCAGUAAUGGUGGCCAAUCAUCAGCUAGAAACAAAGUAUUUAGCAGUGCUUGAAAACACCAAAACUCUGAGACCACUGACCUUCCAAAACUUCAACAGCCCUGAGUGAAAAGUCCAAACACAUUUAUCCACCAUUCAAAGACCCUUUAUUUUCUGUCCUCUGUGCAUCUCAGUAGUCUCUUUUUACCACACUGUCUAUAUACUGCAUGAGCCAUUUACGUGAAACUAUCUGACACUCCAAGGCAUCUUAUACUAUAUAUUCAACCAUGUAUCCCUAGUACCUAGCACAGUCCUGGCAUAUAGUUUGCUACUAAACAUUUGCAGAAUGAAGGAAUUAUCUUGUAUCCAGGUUCAAGUUUUAAGUUGAUUCUUCACUAAACAAAGUAUUACAGUUCACAAAUAAUCUACUUCCUUUUUUACAAAUGGGAUCGAUCUUAAUCUUAUCCCCUAAUAACAUUACUUUCAUUUACUCCCAUCUAAAUAUACUGUCCUAAGAGAGCAAUAAGAAAGAGAGUUGAAGCUGGAGCUUGAAGAAUUGUACAUGGUCCUGUGAUAACCUACCUUGUUUUAACCUGAGUGACUGUCUCCUAGCAGAGAGCUGGACAGACUCCAUUUUAGUUUCUUCAUGUGCAGCCCCCUUUACCUCCCUCCCUUAAGGACAUAACUAGUGUAAACUGACUCAAAGCAUGUCCAGGAAUCACUUACUGUUAAGAUAUUGAGGCAAGCUGCGCCAGCAGCUCCUGGGGAUGCGCUCGGUGAAUGGCACCCAAAACCCCUGCAUUUCUCUCUUUGUGAUAGUUUAAGCCCCUGCACCUGGAACUGUUUAUUUUUUUGCAACUGCUUUUGUAACCAAUUAAUUUUUUAACUUUUUGCCAGCUCUGCUUCUGUAAAAAUUGCUUCAGCCAAACUCCCCCCUCCCCUAUUUAGACCACGGUAUAAAACCAAAACCAACCCCUUCCUCGGGGCCGAGAGAAUUUUGAGCGUUAGCUGCCUCUCGGUCACCAGCUAAUAGAGGAUUCCUUAAUUUGUCUCAAAGUGUGGCAUUUCUCUAUAACUCGCUGGGUUACAACAGUCCACACUGUGGCCUGAGGCGCAUCGCCCACCUGAGCUUCAUCUGUUAGGUAUGUCAGGGAAGAUAAGCAGGGUAAGGAUGGCCUCAUCAGAGGGCCCCAGAUCUCUAGCUCCCCCAUCUGGCAAGUGCACCUCUGUGAACAAAGUCUUCAGAGCCAGAUGACAAGAACGGCCCAAUCAGUCCACCAGGGAAACCUGGGCCCAGUGUACGUCAAUGCAGAGCAUCAAGCACGGCGUAACAGGUGCACAGUUGCCUAUUCCUGUUCAGAGAUAACUGCAUCCCACACACUGUAAAAUGAGGAAAUGCAGAGAAGCAGAUGUAACUGAAGAAGACAGCAGGAGCAACAAGGAGGGACAACCACGACCUAGGAGGACACCAUGCCAGAGAGGCCUGGACCCCACGCUAGGCUCAGUGCCUGUUAUACUCUUGGGACCCAGCGCUUUCCUUCUCCAUCACGUGGCAUACUUGGCAUUAUUUGUUGUUUAAAAUAUUGUCCUUAGUUUUCACCUUUCCUAGGAGACACAGGCAGACCCUGUGACACUACAGCUGGCACACAGUAGGUGCAUCACAAACAUCUGCUGAGUUCACACACUCUUGCCUUCUCAAACCUUCUUGUCAAGUCUUCAGUGAAAAGGAAUUGCUGAUUGAGCAAGAAUUAAACUUCUAGAGACUCCUGGAUCCACUGAAGUUUGAGACAAGGUGAGAUUUGUUUACUGCCAUAUUCCUAGCUCAUAGCAUACUGUAGUCACUUAAAAAAUGUUUGUUGAAUAAGUGAGUGAAUUGAUUCAAUUGUCAUACUUAGCUAUAUAUUUUCUGAGUAAAACUGAUAAAUUUAAUAGUUUACUUCUAGUAUAAUUUUACUUUACUUAUUCAAUGAACCUGACAAUUCAACUAGGUGCCAGGCACACUGCUGCUGAAGAAAAAGAGGUAUAAGAUACAACUUCUGUCUAUAAGAAAGCCACAGUCUAAAAAGUAGAAACAUAUGAACAAAUUAUAACAAUAAAUAGGCUAAAUUCAAAAUCAGAGGGAUUUGUUUCUAUUUUAAACAGCUCUAGUCAGGAAGUGUUAGAAAGUUCUAAACAGGAAAUGUUCCAACACACCAUCUAAGUAUGAAGCAGAAGUCACCCAUAAUUGAGUUUGCUGCCACCAACCCCAAUAGCAAGAAUUCCAGUCCUGCUGCUGCAAAGUGUCACUCUGAUUUUAUUACUGCUGUGUAACCCAGUUUUAGACACUCUGGUUGUCACUUAAUGUUCUAAAAAAGUAUUAAAGAGAAAAUAUUAUUAUGGUGAUGAGUCCAUCCACUGCAGCCAUCUCAACAUCAUACCAAUUAUAAACCCUAUCAUUUAAAAAGAAAACUGUUAGUUUAACUUAUUUAUCCAAAUAUCAGUAAUACAUAAGCAUAUUUGCCAUCAGACUUUGGAUUUAUGGGUUAAAUAGCAUAUAAAUAUGAUUAGAGCCUUAAAGUUUACACUUUUCUGGUUCGCUCAAAUGUUUUCCAAAAUAGCAUAUGCCUUUCUAAACAAUUGUUAGUAUAUUUUUUAAAAUGAACAUUAAAAUGUAUAUUUUCUGAAAACAAAUACAGCUCCCAUUGGUGAAUGAUGAUAUUGAGAUACGACAGGCAACUUCUCUUGGGAACCAUUUAAUCAGUGCUCACUUUUACACCCUUUUCCGAAAUGUCAAUGGCUUUAAAAUAUAGAAGUAUAUUAUACAACUAAACUUAACACUUAUUCAGUAUUGUGCAAUAUUUAGUACUUGUUCUAGCUAUCUCUUGCUGAAUAGUAAGCCAUUCCAAAACUUAAGGAAUUAUUUAUUGUUUAAUAUUGUUUAUUGUUAUUAUUUGUUUAGUAAUUUUAAAUAACAUUAUUUCUCAUGGUUUUGUGGGUUGAUGGGCACUACAAAAGUUCUCUUUUGGAGUGUUUCUUGCAGUUGUGGUUGGUUGGCUGCUGCUGAAGUCACCUGAAAGCUCAACUAGGCUAAAGAGCCUAGACAGGUCACUCACAUGGCUGGCAGUGCAUAUUGGCUGCUGAGUGUGAUGCCUAUCUGUCCUCUCCAUGUUACCUGGAGUCCUCACAACGUGGUAGUUGGUCCCAAGACACACAGGCAAAUACCACAAAGCUUCUUAUGACCUGGCCUUGGAGGUCCUAGAAUAUGACCUCUGCUGCAUCCUAUUGGUAAAGCAAGUCAUUGUGACCAGCACAGAUUCAAGAAAUGGGACAGUAGACUCUACCUGUCAAGGUAAAGAGCAGCAUGUGCAUGCAGGGAGGAAAGAAAUUGAGGGCAUCAUCUUGAAGACUAUCAUAUCACACUAUUAUUCCAGCUAAUGAACAUUAUGUUUUAGAUGGGUAGUACUAGCUACUCAUGUCUCCCCCAGAAACCCAAGCUAGGCAUGGACAUAUUGAAGACUAUCAUAUCACACCAUUAUUCCAACUAAUGAACAUUAUGGUUUAGAUGGGUAGUACUAGCUAUUCAUCUCUUCCCCAGAAACCCAAGCUAGGCAUUGACAUACUGAAAAGAAUGUCAAUACCAUUAAAAAACUCUAGAAAAAUUAUAUGUGAUGACUGAGGUUAAUUCAGUCUGUCAAUUACAUCAAUAUAAUUCCCUUCUUGUAACACUAAAUAUGGUGAAACAGAAUUGAAUUCUACAAAAGUAUUUC